This 450-nucleotide ribosomal RNA is filed under the name uncultured bacterium. RNAcentral's name for it is "bacterial SSU rRNA". It matches the Rfam family "Bacterial small subunit ribosomal RNA", at positions 354 to 796 of the family's 1533-position model. The record is from RNAcentral.
GUGGGGAAUAUUGGACAAUGGGCGAAAGCCUGAUCCAGCCAUGCCGCGUGUGUGAAGAAGGUCUUCGGAUUGUAAAGCACUUUAAGUUGGGAGGAAGGGUAGUAACCUAAUACGUUGCUACUUUGACGUUACCGACAGAAUAAGCACCGGCUAACUUCGUGCCAGCAGCUGCGGUAAUACGAAGGGUGCAAGCGUUAAUCGGAAUUACUGGGCGUAAAGCGCGCGUAGGUGGUUCAGUAAGUUGGAAGUGAAAUCCCCGGGCUCAACCUGGGAACUGCUUUCAAAACUGCUGAGCUAGAGUACGGUAGAGGGUGGUGGAAUUUCCUGUGUAGCGGUGAAAUGCGUAGAUAUAGGAAGGAACACCAGUGGCGAAGGCGACCACCUGGACUGAUACUGACACUGAGGUGCGAAAGCGUGGGGAGCAAACAGGAUUAGAAACCCGGGUAGUCC